GUUGGUUACGCUGCGUUUUGUCACUAUGAAAAGCAAACGCAGUUGUUAUCGGGACGCGCGUUUCAAGUAGUCGCGCUCCCACCUGAUGUUUUCCUUGGCAUCCUCCUUUGCGAGAAGUACACGUUUCACUUCGAUCGAAGCUGUCGCAGUAGGUUUCGUGCGGAAGAAACCCUAAGCAGCCAAAUCUCACGAUGAAUCCCCAUGAUCGUAGAUUCGCCGAUCCGAACUCGUAUCGCAAGCGGUCUGGCGACUCACUGGGUCCGUCUCUUCCGAUCAUGGGCUCCGCGUCAUACGGUCGCGGCGGACCUUUUUGGCACGGAGGCGGUGGAGGGGAAGGUUCCGCCGUCGGUGGCUACUCAACUUUUCAGCCGCCGACUGGUGGCUUCGCCAUCGGCCACGGCGGCGGAAGGAUCGCCCAUGGUCAUUACGGCGAUAGAAGGGGCGCUGGUGGCGGUGGUGGGGGAUGGGGAAGACGUGGUGGAUCGAAUCACGGAGAGCUGGAUAACGUUUCUCUUCCCAGGCAGAAUUUUGGGAAUCUCGUCCCUUUCGAGAAGAAUUUUUAUGUCGAGUGCCCAUCUGUGCAGGCGAUGACAGAGCAGGAUGUUGCAAUGUACAGAAGCAGCCGUGAUAUAUCUGUUGAAGGGCGCGAUGUUCCUAAGCCUAUCAGAAUGUUCCAAGAGGCUAAUUUUCCAGAUCAUAUCCUUGAAGUGAUUGCGAGAUUGGGCUUCACUGAGCCGACACCGAUACAAGCUCAAGGAUGGCCGAUGGCAUUAAAGGGUAGAGAUUUAAUCGGUAUUGCUGAGACCGGGUCUGGUAAGACUCUGGCUUACUUGUUACCAGCUCUGGUACAUGUAAGUGCACAGCCAAGAUUGGCUCAAGAUGAUGGUCCAAUAGUAUUGGCGUUAGCUCCUACAAGAGAAUUGGCUGUUCAAAUCCAAGAGGAAUCAAAAAAAUUUGGGCUCCGGUCUGGUGUCAGAAGUACUUGUAUCUAUGGUGGUGCUCCUAAAGGUCCUCAGAUUCGGGAUCUUAGAAGAGGUGUUGAAAUUGUCAUUGCCACCCCUGGUCGUUUGAUUGAUAUGUUGGAAGCCCGACAUACAAAUUUGAGGAGAGUGACCUACCUUGUCUUGGACGAGGCUGAUAGGAUGUUAGAUAUGGGGUUUGAGCCUCAAAUAAGAAAGAUCAUUUCUCAGAUCCGACCUGAUAGGCAGACAUUGCUUUGGAGUGCGACAUGGCCACGGGAGGUUGAAUCUCUGGCCAGGCAAUUUCUACGAGAUCCAUAUAAGGUCAUUAUUGGAUCGGCGGACCUUAAAGCUAAUCAGUCUAUUAACCAAAUUAUCGAGAUUGUACCUGCAUCAGAGAAGUACAUCAGGCUCAUUAAACUGCUUAAACAGUUAAUGGAUGGGAGUAAAAUAUUAAUUUUCGUGGAGACAAAGAAAGGGUGUGAUCAGGUCACUAAGCAACUGAGAAUGGAUGGAUGGCCAGCUCUGGCCAUACAUGGUGAUAAGACCCAGUCAGAAAGAGAUCGGGUCUUGUCUGAAUUUAAGAGCGGCAGGAGCCCUAUAAUGACUGCUACCGAUGUUGCUGCAAGGGGUCUUGGUAGGAUAACUGUAUGCUAGGAGGUCUAGACUAUUCAUUUCUGGGGUCAAACGAGUCGCCUGGCUGCUUUCCUUGAUUUCCUAUGGUUUAGAAAAGAUACAAACUUGUGAAUGUGGUCCGAUUAUGGCUGUUUUUUAUUUACGUGACUAGCUGGGUUAGGGCUGUUUUAAAGGGUGAAGGGUAUAUUGCUAUUUCUUAGAAGUUUCCUUUCUAGUAGUUGGAGCUGCAGCUUCGUGUGACAUGGACACCGGGACAGCAGUUUGUGAAAAGUGCUGCGGUAUCAGUCUGGAGAUUAUGCCUUGUUUCUUGGUUUCUGUUGUGAAAGGCCGUCUAUGUCACAAGUGUCUUAAGUAGGGAGGUUGAAGCGGUUUUGUUCCGGACCCAUCUCUCUGGUCAUGGAGCCUGGUUGGUUUUUUCUGGGCAGCCUGGUUGACUCGUCAGCAUGCAUAUAUAGUGGGGUAUGGCUGCUCCUUAUCCCUGCAAAAGUUAAGAUGUGAAGGACAUAAAGUGUGUGAUAAACUAUGAUUUUCCGACAAGCCUUGAGGAUUACAUACACAGGAUAGGAAGAACCGGACGUGCGGGAGCAAAGGGAAUGGCUUUCACCUUCUUCACGCAUGACAAUGCAAGG
RNA transcript from Tarenaya hassleriana, 2224 nucleotides. It is a transcript of the gene named DEAD-box ATP-dependent RNA helicase 30, with no coding region annotated. The transcript is spliced from 10 exons. Lineage: Eukaryota; Viridiplantae; Streptophyta; Magnoliopsida; Brassicales; Cleomaceae. The record is from RefSeq and is a predicted model, not a curated record.